RNAcentral lists this ribosomal RNA (65 nucleotides) under Polydrusus fulvicornis. Its description in RNAcentral is "partial 28S ribosomal RNA". The record is from RNAcentral. Lineage: Eukaryota; Metazoa; Arthropoda; Insecta; Coleoptera; Curculionidae.
UAUUGUUUUAUCGACCUCAGAGCAGGUGAGACUACCCGCUGAAUUUAAGCAUAUCAAUAAGCGGA